AGCAGCAUGAGCGAACCGUGUCUCUUUAAAUCUACUCAAGAAGAUAUUCCUUCUGGCCCACAGGAUGCCAAAAUGACUUGAUGAUUUAUUUAUGCAGCAUUUGGCAGCCCAUAGUCCAGAUUGUGGCUGAGGCUGAAUGUUAUGAGCCUUCCCCUAGAAAAAUUGUAGGCCCAGGAGACUGUGGUGAAGAGA
Long non-coding RNA from Suricata suricatta (meerkat), 192 nucleotides. RefSeq lists it as uncharacterized. The transcript has 3 exons. Lineage: Eukaryota; Metazoa; Chordata; Mammalia; Carnivora; Herpestidae. The record is from RefSeq and is a predicted model, not a curated record.